UCCGAGUUGUCCCCGGCAGUCCCCUUAGAGUCCCCGGCAUUACCCGCUGGCAACUAAGGGCAGGGGUUGCGCUCGUUGCGGCACUUAAGCCAACACCUCACGGCACGAGCUGACGACAGCCAUGCAGCACCUGUGCUAGCCCCCGAAGGACACGGGCUUUCACCCGCUUUAACUAGCAUGUCAAGCCCAGGUAAGGUGGGGAUGACGUAAGAGAGUACGUCC
This 222-nucleotide unclassified non-coding RNA is filed under the name uncultured Actinomycetes bacterium. RNAcentral describes it as "uncultured actinobacterium contains 16S-23S intergenic spacer region". Lineage: Bacteria; Bacillati; Actinomycetota; Actinomycetes. The record is from RNAcentral.